CUUUGGGUCUGAUGGGGGGGCCUCCUGUCUCCAAGAUGGGGACAUUGUGGGGCUGAGGCUGGGGAGGGGCUGGGCAGGGCUGAGGUCUGGGGGCCUCUCCUGCAGGAGGAAAGGAGUCAGGGAGCUGUGGCUGGGGUCCUGAGUCCCCAGGGAGCAGAGGGGAGGCUGGGGGCUCAGAGCCGCCCCUGAGAACAUCCAUCCCCUCCCAGAUCUGGGGCCCAGGACAGGAGAUGUGAGGGGCGAGCUGCUCACACGUCGGCCUCGUGCCCCAGUGUGAGUGCUCGGCUGGGGCUCACGAGAGCUCAGUCGGGGCUCGGGGGCUGGUCGUGUUCGCAAUCCCGAGAAAGUGUCACCGGGGGAAUGAGGCUGACACGCGGUGCGGAACAAAGGCAGCCCUUCGGGGCUGAGCUGCAGGCUCAGUGCCAUCUCCUCCAUCCUGGGUACCUGACUGGACCAGUACUCAGAGGACUUCUGUCAGCCACCGGACUUCCCCUGCCUCAAGCAGCUGGUGGCCUACGUGCAGCUCAACAUGCCUGGCUCUGACCUGGAGCGCCGCUCCCAGCUUCUCCUGGCCCAGCUGGAGCAUGCUGAACUCACCGAGACAGAGCCGCAGGCUCUUUCUCCAGCUCUCC
Vicugna pacos (alpaca) is the source of this 632-nucleotide non-coding RNA. The record is from RefSeq and is a predicted model, not a curated record. Lineage: Eukaryota; Metazoa; Chordata; Mammalia; Artiodactyla; Camelidae.